RNAcentral lists this ribosomal RNA (847 nucleotides) under uncultured bacterium. RNAcentral's name for it is "bacterial SSU rRNA". It matches the Rfam family "Bacterial small subunit ribosomal RNA", at positions 22 to 863 of the family's 1533-position model. The record is from RNAcentral.
GCUCAGGAUGAACGCUAGCGACAGGCUUAACACAUGCAAGUCGAGGGGCAGCAUAAAAGUAGCAAUACUUUGGUGGCGACCGGCGCACGGGUGAGUAACGCGUAUGCAACCUACCUAUCAGAGGGGGAUAACCCGGCGAAAGUCGGACUAAUACCGCAUAAAACAGGGGCACCGCAUGGUGCUAUUUGUUAAAAAUUUAUUGCUGAUAGAUGGGCAUGCGUUCCAUUAGGUAGUUGGAGAGGUAACGGCUCACCAAGCCUACGAUGGAUAGGGGAACUGAGAGGUUGGUCCCCCACACUGGUACUGAGACACGGACCAGACUCCUACGGGAGGCAGCAGUGAGGAAUAUUGGUCAAUGGGCGAGAGCCUGAACCAGCCAAGUCGCGUGAAGGAAGAAGGAUCUAUGGUUCGUAAACUUCUUUUGCAGGGGAAUAAAGUGCAGGACGUGUCCUGUUUUGUAUGUACCCUGAGAAUAAGGAUCGGCUAACUCCGUGCCAGCAGCCGCGGUAAUACGGAGGAUCCGAGCGUUAUCCGGAUUUAUUGGGUUUAAAGGGUGCGUAGGUGGUUUAAUAAGUCAGCGGUGAAAGUUUGCAGCUUAACUGUAAAAAUGCCGUUGAAACUGUUAGACUUGAGUGUAAAUGAGGUAGGCGGAAUGCGUGGUGUAGCGGUGAAAUGCUUAGAUAUCACGCAGAACUCCGAUUGCGAAGGCAGCUUACCAAGCUACAACUGACACUGAAGCACGAAAGCGUGGGGAUCAAACAGGAUUAGAUACCCUGGUAGUCCACGCAGUAAACGAUGAUUACUAGCUGUUUGCGAUACACAGUAAGCGGCACAGCGAAAGCGUUAA